RNAcentral lists this ribosomal RNA (1243 nucleotides) under metagenome. RNAcentral describes it as "bacterial LSU rRNA". It matches the Rfam family "Bacterial large subunit ribosomal RNA", at positions 1564 to 2816 of the family's 2925-position model. The record is from RNAcentral.
UGAGUACGAGACGCUAAGGCGUCGAAGUAGUGGAUGUCAUACUUCCAAGAAAAGCUUGCACUGUCAUAGAUAAAAAACGCCUGUACCAUAACCGACACAGGUGGGUAGGUAGAGUAUACUAAGGGGCGCGAGAUAACUCUCUCUAAGGAACUCGGCAAAAUAACUCCGUAACUUCGGGGGAAGGAGUGCCUUAUUCGUAAGGCUGCAAUAACAAGAUCCAAGCAACUGUUUAUCAAAAACACAGGUCUCCGCUAAGUCGUAAGACGAUGUAUGGGGGCUGACGCCUGCCCAGUGCCAGAAGGUUAAAGAAGUCGGUUAGCAUUAGCGAAGCUGGUAACUGAAGCCCUGGUGAACGGCGGCCGUAACAAUAACGGUCCUAAGGUAGCGAAAUUCCUUGUCGGGUAAGUUCCGACCCGCACGAAAGGCGUAAUGAUUUGGAUACUGUCUCGGAGAGGGGCUCGGUGAAAUAGACUUGUCUGUGAAGAUGCGGACUACCUGCACCAGGACAGAAAGACCCUAUGAAGCUUUACUGUAACUUGAAAUUGAAAUUGGACUUUAUUCGCGCAGUAUAGGUGUGAGGUGUUGAUUAUAAUCUUGCGGGAUUAUUGGAGCCAUCAGUGAGAUACCACUCUUGUAAUGUUAGAUUUCUAACUUUGAAUCAUUAUCUGGUCAAAGAACAGUUUCAGGCGGGCAGUUUGACUAGGGCGGUCGCCUCCUAAAUGGUAACGGAGGCGUACAAAGGUUUCCUCUGAACGGGUAGAAAUCGUAUCUAGAGUGUAAAGGCAUAAGGAAGCUUGACUGUGAGACCUACAAGUCGAGCAGGGACGAAAGUCGGUCUUAGUGAUCUGACGGUACUGAGUGGAAAGGCCGUCACUCAACGGAUAAAAGUUACUCUAAGGAUAACAGGCUGAUCUCCCCCAAGAGUUCACAUCGACGGGGAGGUUUGGCACCUCGAUGUCGGCUCAUCGCAUCCUGGGGCGGUAGUACGUCCCAAGGGUUGGGCUGUUCGCCCAUGAAAGCGGUACGCGAGCUGGGUUCAGAACGUCGUGAGACAGUUCGGUCCAUAUCCGGUGUAGGCGUUAGAAUAUUGAGAGGAGCCUUCUUUAGUACGAGAGGACCGAGAAGGACAUACCUCUGGUGUACCAGUUAUCGUGCCAACGGUAAACGCUGGGUAGCUAUGUAUGGAGUGGAUAACCGCUGAAAGCAUCUAAGUGGGAAGCCCACCUCAAGAUAAGUAUUCUCA